RNAcentral lists this ribosomal RNA (487 nucleotides) under Salmonella enterica subsp. enterica serovar Infantis. Its description in RNAcentral is "bacterial SSU rRNA". It matches the Rfam family "Bacterial small subunit ribosomal RNA", at positions 1035 to 1522 of the family's 1533-position model. The record is from RNAcentral. RNAcentral also lists the same sequence under 31 other names. Lineage: Bacteria; Pseudomonadati; Pseudomonadota; Gammaproteobacteria; Enterobacterales; Enterobacteriaceae.
CAGGUGCUGCAUGGCUGUCGUCAGCUCGUGUUGUGAAAUGUUGGGUUAAGUCCCGCAACGAGCGCAACCCUUAUCCUUUGUUGCCAGCGAUUAGGUCGGGAACUCAAAGGAGACUGCCAGUGAUAAACUGGAGGAAGGUGGGGAUGACGUCAAGUCAUCAUGGCCCUUACGACCAGGGCUACACACGUGCUACAAUGGCGCAUACAAAGAGAAGCGACCUCGCGAGAGCAAGCGGACCUCAUAAAGUGCGUCGUAGUCCGGAUUGGAGUCUGCAACUCGACUCCAUGAAGUCGGAAUCGCUAGUAAUCGUGGAUCAGAAUGCCACGGUGAAUACGUUCCCGGGCCUUGUACACACCGCCCGUCACACCAUGGGAGUGGGUUGCAAAAGAAGUAGGUAGCUUAACCUUCGGGAGGGCGCUUACCACUUUGUGAUUCAUGACUGGGGUGAAGUCGUAACAAGGUAACCGUAGGGGAACCUGCGGUUGGA